GUGUUGGUGGUUCAGUGGUAGAGUGUUCGGCUGCUAUACGGGUGGCUAGGGCUCGAUUCCUGGCCAACGCA
This 71-nucleotide transfer RNA is filed under the name Enterobius vermicularis (human pinworm). It matches the Rfam family "tRNA". From Rfam's summary of the family: Transfer RNA (tRNA) molecules are approximately 80 nucleotides in length. Their secondary structure includes four short double-helical elements and three loops (D, anti-codon, and T loops). Further hydrogen bonds mediate the characteristic L-shaped molecular structure. tRNAs have two regions of fundamental functional importance: the anti-codon, which is responsible for specific mRNA codon recognition, and the 3' end, to which the tRNAs corresponding amino acid is attached (by aminoacyl-tRNA synthetases). tRNAs cope with the degeneracy of the genetic code in two manners: having more than one tRNA (with a specific anti-codon) for a particular amino acid; and 'wobble' base-pairing, i.e. permitting non-standard base-pairing at the 3rd anti-codon position. The record is from Rfam by way of RNAcentral. Lineage: Eukaryota; Metazoa; Nematoda; Chromadorea; Rhabditida; Oxyuridae.